RNAcentral lists this long non-coding RNA (616 nucleotides) under Gossypium barbadense (sea-island cotton). RNAcentral describes it as "long non-coding RNA (GBAR_LNC010254)". Lineage: Eukaryota; Viridiplantae; Streptophyta; Magnoliopsida; Malvales; Malvaceae. The record is from RNAcentral.
GGCUAUACUAAACAUAGAAUGUUUGAAUUCUUCCAUACUCACCUCGUAGGAGAGCAUUUCAAGCAAUCCCCCUUUAAUCCUCAAAAAGCGCCCCUGAAUUAGGUAAUCUCCAAGCUGAUAAUCAUAUGCAUGCUUCCUUAAUAGCUCACUAUCAAAGUACCACCCUGACUCAUCAAUUUUCAAAGCCUAAAUUCUAUUCUACUUCCUCCUUUUCAUAGUACGACCCUAGAAAUCUUUUGUGUUUUGAUCACCAUUCCAAAGCAAUUCAUGUUGUGACUUUUGGAACCAUAAAAGCUCCUCUUGAUGUAAAAUUUGUUCAAUUUCUGAGAGAAUUUCCAUUACUUUUCGUUUUAAACGUUCAAAACAGCAUCGUUCUAACCUUUCCUGAACCCAGUCCAACUUUCUCAAUGCCCUCAUUUUUCAUGAAAAAAUAUUCCCAAACGCUUUCUUAUUUCAAUCUUUAAUCUGCUGAGUUGACCUCUCCAAAUUCUCAAUAAUAGUAAUAUUAAAUCUCCAGGGUUUUGCAGCAACAUCAUGAAACUCUGGAAGAGUUUGCUAGCUUGCUAAGAAACGAAAGGACCUCUCACCCUCUCCUCCUUCAACCAUACUAGUCGAA